UACGGCCGCAUCACGUUGAAACACCCGUUCACGUACGAUCACCGAAGUUAAACAAUGGCGAGCCUGGUCAGCAACUAGAUGGGUGACCGCUUGUGAAUACCAGGU
Non-coding RNA from Acanthosepion pharaonis, 105 nucleotides. The record is from the annotation of a GenBank genome assembly. Lineage: Eukaryota; Metazoa; Mollusca; Cephalopoda; Sepiida; Sepiidae.